UUUUUUUUUUUUUUUUUUUAAACCAGGUAUGCUUGGAUUUAGUUACUUUGUGACCUUGGCAGGGUUUCUAAUCUCUGGUCUGCUUUCUCAGUUAGAAAUAAGGAUAGCUUACAGGGCUGUUGUGAAGGCUAAAUGAGAUAACACAUGCAGGCCUGGCACAUAGCAGACUUUCUCUCAGUGUACUUUGUUGCUUUAUACCAGUAAGUGUCUCUUUCCAUUGUCAUUGUGAGUUAACCCAUCGAUCAUCCAUUUUAGCCAGACUGAGAGUUCCUCUAGAGUGUCUUUCAUCUCUGCCUCCCCCAAAACGCAGGGCACAUGGCUGGGAAGGAAAACUCUGAGCUUCACUUUAGAAAAGAGUUUGAGGUGCCUGUGAGAAUGUCCAAGCACACAUCCUUGGCAGUUGGAUCUACCUGGUUGUGAAGCUCAGCGGAGAGAUCUGGUUUGAAGGUGAAGUUUGGGGAAUGAGUUAGGAGUGUGUCAGGUGGUUGAAAGCAUGGUUGGGAUGAAGUGCACUGUCCUAAUUAAGGUUACAGAGGAGACUAAGUUACAGGAGGCUGAACUGAAGCGUUAGUGCUUUAUACAGUCCCAGAGCAUCAAGGGCCAGGACCAUGAGGCAGCGAAGAAGAAAACACAAGGUUUAUUUUAAUGAGUUGACUACUGCUUCACAAAUACGCAACCAGCCACUUGCCCAUGUGUGACGGCUCUGGAUAGACUGUACGGAAACACUACAUUGGCGUUGAUGGAGGGAUGGAGAGCACAUUUAGCUCCUCUCUCUCUCUCUCUUUUUUUUUUUUUUUUUUUUUUUUUUUUUUGUCUUUUUGCUAUUUCUUAGGCUGCUCCCGCGGCAUAUGGAGGUUCCCAGGCUAGGGGUCUAAUUGGAGCCGUAGCCACUGGCCUAUGCCAGAGCCACAGCAAUGCAGGAUCCGAGCCGCAUUUGCAACCUACACCACAGCUCACGGCAACGCUGGAUCCUUAACCCACUGAGCAAGGGCAGGGACCGAACCUGCAACAUCAUGGUUCCUAGUCGGAUUCGUUAACCACUGCGCCACGACGGGAACUCCUUUUUUUUUUUUUUUUUGUCCUCUCUCUUGCCUCCUGUUUUUCACUGCUUCAGGUUUGCCCUGUUGGGUGUUUGCUCCCCUCACUUGCUGGCACUGUAUCAGUUGACCAGCAGAAAAGUCAGAUCCCCUGCCCUGCAGCAUAGCAUGUCCUCCAGGUCCUGAAGUGGUGAGGUGAACAUAGGGUACUGGCCUCUGGGACUUGGUCAACACGGAGGAAGCAGCUGGAGGCCUGGGGUUUAGGUGAGGCCGCAGAUACUGGAGUAUAGAGUACAGGGCAGGAGGGCAGUGCCCUGGGCAGUUCUGAGAGUUAAAAAGAACCCAUAGCAGAACCUUGGGGAUCAUCCACGGGAGCAGAGACCCCAGAGGAAAUGUCACUGGACCAGGGAAAACAGAUUGGGGGAAGGUAGUUGACAGCUCAGAGGUCAAAUGGACUGAGUUCAGAAAGUGGCAUGCGAAUCUGAGAUGGUCCUGAGCUGGCAAGUGCUCCCUCUGCUGGUGGAACAGAGGGACCAGAAACUGGGUUGUGGCAAGAAAGGGGAGCGAGCAGCACACACCCACUGCUGUGUCCUGAUGUUCAGGGGAAGUUGGGUGGCCCAGGGCUGGCAGACAGCUGACAUAGGCUUCGCUGCCUGUAAAUGAUGGGAGCUGCCCAGGGACCCCAAGAGAUUUCUGGAAACUAGGGUAGGAUGUGAUGGUGGGGAGAGAGGCCUAGUGAGGCACUCUGUGUGGCAAGGAUGGUGCAUAGCAUGGGAGGGAGCAGACUCCUUUGGUCCAUCUAAACCCAGAGCUGCCAGUUGUGAUGCGAGAACUGACUGGCAACUGGCAGAGGCAGGGUCUGAACAGCCUCAGUUUUGUCUUCUGGGAACUUCUCUCUUUUGGAGGAGAUUCCCAGAGUCAGGAUCACCUUCCCCAUCAACACUGAGACAGCUUUGUGAAGAAAGGAAAAGGCUCGCAUUUCGGGUCUUUCACUUAUACAUUGUGUGGACUUGGGGAAGUUGCUUAACUUCUCAACCUCCGCCUCUGUAUCUAUAAUAUGAGGCUAGUAGCGUUUUCCUCGCAAAGAAAGAAAGAAAGAAAUACAAGCAGUCACAUUCCCAAGACAUACACCUCUGACACAAAUACUGAUAUUUUGGAUCCUGGAGGAUAGGCAGUCUCGGUGCCCCAGUUUUUGGCUCAUUUCCAUGGGUGGUUACUGUCCUGUUUUCUACCAUCCACGCACUGUUUCCUCCUACACUUCACAGGCCAAGGCUGGGGAAGAGUCACAUGUUCACGGCACGCCCCCUUCACCCCAGUUUGAAUUUAUGUGCUUGGUUCCCAUUUUCCACGCUCUCCUGCAGUGGGAAGCAGAAGUGGGGGCGGUACAGAGAGCUGAGUGUCUGCUGGCUGAUCCUAAGAAAUGUCUAAGACCCCAGAGCCAAUUCCAUCCUCCCUCAGCUUUGAGGCUGAGAGUGAGCCAGGAGCACGUGUGCACCACAGCUCCAGGCGCCCAACUGGGAGGCUUCGUGGCACUGAGUACUUUGAGCCUGUCAGGCGCGGAACACCUGGAGAACGUGGGCUUCGGGGAUGUUAUACUCCAUGUAGCCCCUCCUUCUCUGUAUAUGGAGACACAUGUCCAUUCACCCAGCCUUCCCUCAGCCCUGCACAUGUGCCAGCCGAAAUCCCUGCCGCCCAGGGACAGACAGCCUCUUGCUGAGGUGCUCAGAGGGGUGGCCUGGGGAUGUUUGGCUUCCCUUUCUCGCCAGAAGGUCGGGGAGAUUGGGGGUGAGGCUUGGAUGCAUCUUAUUCAAAUAACUGGUGUCAGAGUAAAGAUAUGCCAGUCACCCUGUGUUUCGUUAGUUUGUAUUAUGGGGAGUUUUAACAUACUUCCCAUAGUACAGUAGAGAGCAGUGACUCUCCAUGUGCUGAUAUUCAUCGUUUCAUGACCAAUCUGUCUCAUCUAAGUGUCUCUUCUUCUUUCACCUCCCCCCUCCAUAUAUUAUUUUGAAGCAAAUCCCAGACAUCAUCUUAUCAUUUUGUCCCAAAGUAUUUUAGUAUCCCUAAAAGAUAGCGCGUCUAAGAAAACUACAAAACCAUUAUUGCACCUAAAAAAAAAUCCAUCAAAUAUCCAGUGUUCAAAUUUCCCUGUCUUAUACAGAUGUUUUGUUUUACAGUAUGUGUGUUUGGGUAAGUUUCAAGAAAAAGAAAAUACACUAUAAAUAGCUGUCUCUUGAUUUCCAUAUUCUGAAUGACCAUUAUGGCACCAAUACAACAUAUGCUUUUUAUUCACAUAUCUUAAACUUUGUUUUCAGGGUGUCAGCGAUUCAAAUGUAUGUUGUUAUCCUGAGAACACAAAGGACACAACAUGGAGGAAGAUUGAGAACACAGCUCCUAGUUCUUAGUCAUUAGUGAUUGUAGAGAUUUUCCUUUUAGUGUUUCCUAUGUAGUUUCAUUAAUUUAAAGAGGUCCUGCCAUGGUUCUGCAGGAGCCAGAGGGAGAGUACGAUGAAAAAAAAAAAAAAAAUGGACCCAAAGUUAGGAAGAGAUAAAAAUGGAAGUCAAGGAGAGGGAAUAUAUUAUGAGACUAAAUGCAAGGAUUUCCUUCAUACAGAGUGUAAGCAUCUGUCUUAGCUUGGGUUACUGUAACAAAAUACCACAAACUGGGUUGCUUAUCAACAGUGGAAAUGAAUUUCUUACAGUUCCGGAGCCUAGGAGUCUGAAAUCAGGAUGUCAGCUCGGCCAGGUUCUGGAGAGACGGCUCUUCUGGGUGCAGGUGGCGGACUUUGUAUUUUCACAUGGCAGAAAGAGACUAAGCUCGUUUUCUGGCCUCUUAUGAGGAUAUUAAUCCCAUUCAUGAGGGCUCCACCUUUCUGACCUAAUUUCCUCCCAGAGCUUUACUUGGUAAAAUACCAUCACAUUAGGGAUUAGAUAGCAACAUAGGAAUUUGGGGGGACACAAACAUUCAGUCCAUAACAGCAGCCAAACAGGUGCUGAGGAAAGAAAUUAUAUCCUCUUGCUUCUGCCUCAUGUUACCCAUUAAUGAGCCCCAUAGAUGGUGCACAUCGCUGAGGAGGAGCGCUCUCCUCUCAGCAUUGUGUGCAGAAAGGGAGGUGAUGGGAGAGCAACUUGCUUUUGAGAUGCUCUAGGUUGAUGGGUAUCAAAACCUUCCCUGUGGAAAGCCUGUCAAGUAGCUGGAGCGGUGGCUCUCCAACUUUACAAAUGAUGGUAGUUGUAACAAAUUUCUGUUGAAGAUUUGAAAGGAUUGAGGAAGAAAAGUGUAUGGAAGGGGGCCUUAGAGAUAGCCAGGUGCUAUGGGAACAUGGGUGUUGACUUAAGUGCUCUCAGCCUCCACAGGUCAGGUUAAAAAUUCUAAGCCCUCUCACUUUAGAUUAAAUAUAGGGCAUAUACCAAGUAAAGCUUUACUUCAAAUGCAGCGAUUGGGUGGAGCUACGGGAAAAGGAACACUUCCCUAGAAUAUUACUUAGACCUUUGCACUUCCUUCAUUCAGGCCACAACAAACUGGCCAAAGAGGAUGUACUUUUCAACAAACAGAAUAGUGGAGGUACCACAGACACAACUCUUAACAUAGGAAGAGAGAUGUAAGCUCACAAGAGGGUGAUGGGGCUGUGCUCAGCGCUGGAUGCAGGGAGAAAGAAUGUAGAACCAGGAAAGACAGCUUUCUCCAUCCUUUGUCAAAAUUCUGGAUUAGUAAACACUGAGGCCAGGUUAUCCAUUUUCAGAGAAUUGGCUUAGUGGAAAGGGAAAUGGCAGGGGUUUUUGGUCCCCUGAAAUUGCUAAAUAAGACUUUACAAGGAGGCACGUGAGGGUCACGAGACGACUGAAACAAGUUGAGGAAUUUGGAAGGUGGAAAAAGAGUUUUACUGCUAUUAGAGGUCUUUUCUCCCUGACCUUGCUGAGCCCUUCACAGUCAGCCUUGAGGUAUGGUAAGACCUGCCAGUCCCGCCUUGUUGAUGAUGGCUGCACAAAGGGAGAAUGCCAUAAGCCAGCUGCAUGCAAUGGGGAAGCUAAGAAAAAGAUUGCUCAGUAAUUUUAAUUCUGCGGGAGGGAGGAGUUUUCAGCUUCUCCAAGAUUUGGGCUCCCAGGGUAAUUUGUUUUCAGUUUAAUUUUUCAUAUUCCUGUUAUUAGUAGGUUAAGAAAGUAGGAUUUUCCCAAGUACUGAUUUAUAGAUGUUUACAAGCCCACGCAAAAUGUUCAGUGUUACAAAUAACAUUCAUUGAUCCUUUUAAAUGUAAUUUCAGUCAUUAAGUGCAAUGAUAAUAUAAUGUGGUUAAAUUUACACUAAAUCUUGUGUAUCCUGAACUACAAGAAGUUGAGCAAGUGUUUUCUGUAACCAUGUAUGAUUUGAGUCAAGUAUAGUUUUCCACAAUGAACAGGUAUUAACAAAUAUAUUAAUAGGACACUAUGCCAGAUGCUUAUUCUGCCAUCAGCUUUUUAAGCAAUGCCAUUCCAGAUGCUACUGAAAGCAUUUAUUUUAGAAGCUUUAAUCUGUAGUUCCCUGGUGGCCUAGUGGGUUAAGGAUCUAGCCUUGUCACUGCUGUGGUAGGAACUUCUGCAUGUCAUGGCCGUGGCCAAAAAAAUAAAUAGAAGAAGCUUUAAUCUGAUCUCAGAAAUGGGUUCUCCUACAGCUUGACAAAUAGUAUGUAUAAGUCUCAAAGCUUCUAAAUUAAAAAAGCCUUCCAACACUGAAGCAUUCAUGUGAAACUUAGUU
This 5765-nucleotide long non-coding RNA is filed under the name Sus scrofa (pig). RNAcentral's name for it is "lncRNA (ENSSSCG00000048001.1)". The record is from RNAcentral. Lineage: Eukaryota; Metazoa; Chordata; Mammalia; Artiodactyla; Suidae.